Molecule: non-coding RNA, 721 nt
Organism: Salvelinus sp. IW2-2015
Lineage: Eukaryota; Metazoa; Chordata; Actinopteri; Salmoniformes; Salmonidae
Source: RefSeq, a predicted model, not a curated record
UUGGAUGAAACUGGACAUUUCACUGACUUCCAUUCCUUGUAGGUUUACAAUGAAAACACCUUUAGAUAACAGAGAGAGCACAUCCCAGUGGUUGCUGCUGGCCUACACAGCGUGGUCUAUUCGUGGCCUAUAAAAAACCGUAAUGCUAAUCCUUUAAGAGCAAAUUGGAAUGCCAAUGAGUGUUGAGUGACCUGUGGAGGUCAUAGGCAAGUGCUAUAUUUACCGUCUCUGUAACSUGAUCUCUGGCAUUCUGGAUCACUGUGCUCAUACAAUCCCUCCCUGGCUCCUCUCACUCUGGGGCCACAGCCUCCUAUGCAGCACCCUACCCUGCCUGUCCGCUUGAUACGCCACCGGUCUGAUCAGUGAGAAGUCCCUGUYACUGUGAAUGUGUCUGUCAGGUACAUUAGGAUGAGCGGGCCCCACUCUAUCGCUGCCUGCGGGGACUGAGAGACACCGCUCUAUACACAGCAGUCGAUGCGGUCUUCCACCGCAUCACCCGUGGCUGAGAAUCCAGCAUGUCUCGCGUCUCCACCACCGCCAAGCGUUACACCGGCUCCUCCUAUACCGGCUCCUCCUAUACCAGUGCCUAUAGCUCCUAUGGCUCCUCCCUGACGCCCUCCUCCCUCAGCUCCUACACCUCCGACCGGGACAGGCUGCCCUCCUACAGGAGCAAUGCUGCCUCCUCCUCGGGGCUACUCCUCCUCCAGCUACCUGAGCAGCG